This 253-nucleotide ribosomal RNA is filed under the name uncultured Rikenellaceae bacterium. RNAcentral's name for it is "partial 16S ribosomal RNA". It matches the Rfam family "Bacterial small subunit ribosomal RNA", at positions 524 to 776 of the family's 1533-position model. Lineage: Bacteria; Pseudomonadati; Bacteroidota; Bacteroidia; Bacteroidales; Rikenellaceae. The record is from RNAcentral.
UACGGAGGAUUCAAGCGUUAUCCGGAUUUAUUGGGUUUAAAGGGUGCGUAGGCGGUUUGAUAAGUUAGAGGUGAAAUACCGGUGCUUAACACCGGAACUGCCUCUAAUACUGUUGAGCUAGAGAGUAGUUGCGGUAGGCGGAAUGUAUGGUGUAGCGGUGAAAUGCUUAGAGAUCAUACAGAACUCCGAUUGCGAAGGCAGCUUACUAAGCCAUAACUGACACUGAAGCACGAAAGCGUGGGGAUCAAACAGG